AGUGAACGCUGGCGGUAGGCCUAACACAUGCAAGUCGAACGGCAGCACAGUAAGAGCUUGCUCUUACGGGUGGCGAGUGGCGGACGGGUGAGGAAUACAUCGGAAUCUACUUUUUCGUGGGGGAUAACGUAGGGAAACUUACGCUAAUACCGCAUACGACCUACGGGUGAAAGCAGGGGAUCUUCGGACCUUGCGCGAUUGAAUGGGCCGAUGUCGGAUUAGCUAGUUGGCGGGGUAAAGGCCCACCAAGGCGACGAUCCGUAGCUGGUCUGAGAGGAUGAUCAGCCACACUGGAACUGAGACACGGUCCAGACUCCUACGGGAGGCAGCAGUGGGGAAUAUUGGACAAUGGGCGCAAGCCUGAUCCAGCCAUACCGCGUGGGUGAAGAAGGCCUUCGGGUUGUAAGGCCCUUUUGUUGGGAAAGAAAAGCAGCAGGUUAAUACCCCGCUGUUCUGACGGUACCCAAAGAAUAAGCACCGGCUAACUUCGUG
RNAcentral lists this ribosomal RNA (492 nucleotides) under uncultured bacterium. RNAcentral's name for it is "partial 16S ribosomal RNA". It matches the Rfam family "Bacterial small subunit ribosomal RNA", at positions 29 to 507 of the family's 1533-position model. The record is from RNAcentral.